RNAcentral lists this ribosomal RNA (2904 nucleotides) under Escherichia coli 3-475-03_S3_C1. RNAcentral's name for it is "bacterial LSU rRNA". It matches the Rfam family "Bacterial large subunit ribosomal RNA". The record is from RNAcentral. Lineage: Bacteria; Pseudomonadati; Pseudomonadota; Gammaproteobacteria; Enterobacterales; Enterobacteriaceae.
UUAAGCGACUAAGCGUACACGGUGGAUGCCCUGGCAGUCAGAGGCGAUGAAGGACGUGCUAAUCUGCGAUAAGCGUCGGUAAGGUGAUAUGAACCGUUAUAACCGGCGAUUUCCGAAUGGGGAAACCCAGUGUGUUUCGACACACUAUCAUUAACUGAAUCCAUAGGUUAAUGAGGCGAACCGGGGGAACUGAAACAUCUAAGUACCCCGAGGAAAAGAAAUCAACCGAGAUUCCCCCAGUAGCGGCGAGCGAACGGGGAGCAGCCCAGAGCCUGAAUCAGUGUGUGUGUUAGUGGAAGCGUCUGGAAAGGCGCGCGAUACAGGGUGACAGCCCCGUACACAAAAAUGCACAUGCUGUGAGCUCGAUGAGUAGGGCGGGACACGUGGUAUCCUGUCUGAAUAUGGGGGGACCAUCCUCCAAGGCUAAAUACUCCUGACUGACCGAUAGUGAACCAGUACCGUGAGGGAAAGGCGAAAAGAACCCCGGCGAGGGGAGUGAAAAAGAACCUGAAACCGUGUACGUACAAGCAGUGGGAGCACAGAGCAAUCUGUGUGACUGCGUACCUUUUGUAUAAUGGGUCAGCGACUUAUAUUCUGUAGCAAGGUUAACCGAAUAGGGGAGCCGAAGGGAAACCGAGUCUUAACUGGGCGUUAAGUUGCAGGGUAUAGACCCGAAACCCGGUGAUCUAGCCAUGGGCAGGUUGAAGGUUGGGUAACACUAACUGGAGGACCGAACCGACUAAUGUUGAAAAAUUAGCGGAUGACUUGUGGCUGGGGGUGAAAGGCCAAUCAAACCGGGAGAUAGCUGGUUCUCCCCGAAAGCUAUUUAGGUAGCGCCUCGUGAAUUCAUCUCCGGGGGUAGAGCACUGUUUCGGCAAGGGGGUCAUCCCGACUUACCAACCCGAUGCAAACUACGAAUACCGGAGAAUGUUAUCACGGGAGACACACGGCGGGUGCUAACGUCCGUCGUGAAGAGGGAAACAACCCAGACCGCCAGCUAAGGUCCCAAAGUCAUGGUUAAGUGGGAAACGAUGUGGGAAGGCCCAGACAGCCAGGAUGUUGGCUUAGAAGCAGCCAUCAUUUAAAGAAAGCGUAAUAGCUCACUGGUCGAGUCGGCCUGCGCGGAAGAUGUAACGGGGCUAAACCAUGCACCGAAGCUGCGGCAGCGACGCUUAUGCGUUGUUGGGUAGGGGAGCGUUCUGUAAGCCUGCGAAGGUGUGCUGUGAGGCAUGCUGGAGGUAUCAGAAGUGCGAAUGCUGACAUAAGUAACGAUAAAGCGGGUGAAAAGCCCGCUCGCCGGAAGACCAAGGGUUCCUGUCCAACGUUAAUCGGGGCAGGGUGAGUCGACCCCUAAGGCGAGGCCGAAAGGCGUAGUCGAUGGGAAACAGGUUAAUAUUCCUGUACUUGGUGUUACUGCGAAGGGGGGACGGAGAAGGCUAUGUUGGCCGGGCGACGGUUGUCCCGGUUUAAGCGUGUAGGCUGGUUUUCCAGGCAAAUCCGGAAAAUCAAGGCUGAGGCGUGAUGACGAGGCACUACGGUGCUGAAGCAACAAAUGCCCUGCUUCCAGGAAAAGCCUCUAAGCAUCAGGUAACAUCAAAUCGUACCCCAAACCGACACAGGUGGUCAGGUAGAGAAUACCAAGGCGCUUGAGAGAACUCGGGUGAAGGAACUAGGCAAAAUGGUGCCGUAACUUCGGGAGAAGGCACGCUGAUAUGUAGGUGAAGUCCCUCGCGGAUGGAGCUGAAAUCAGUCGAAGAUACCAGCUGGCUGCAACUGUUUAUUAAAAACACAGCACUGUGCAAACACGAAAGUGGACGUAUACGGUGUGACGCCUGCCCGGUGCCGGAAGGUUAAUUGAUGGGGUCAGCGCAAGCGAAGCUCUUGAUCGAAGCCCCGGUAAACGGCGGCCGUAACUAUAACGGUCCUAAGGUAGCGAAAUUCCUUGUCGGGUAAGUUCCGACCUGCACGAAUGGCGUAAUGAUGGCCAGGCUGUCUCCACCCGAGACUCAGUGAAAUUGAACUCGCUGUGAAGAUGCAGUGUACCCGCGGCAAGACGGAAAGACCCCGUGAACCUUUACUAUAGCUUGACACUGAACAUUGAGCCUUGAUGUGUAGGAUAGGUGGGAGGCUUUGAAGUGUGGACGCCAGUCUGCAUGGAGCCGACCUUGAAAUACCACCCUUUAAUGUUUGAUGUUCUAACGUGGACCCGUAAUCCGGGUUGCGGACAGUGUCUGGUGGGUAGUUUGACUGGGGCGGUCUCCUCCUAAAGAGUAACGGAGGAGCACGAAGGUUGGCUAAUCCUGGUCGGACAUCAGGAGGUUAGUGCAAUGGCAUAAGCCAGCUUGACUGCGAGCGUGACGGCGCGAGCAGGUGCGAAAGCAGGUCAUAGUGAUCCGGUGGUUCUGAAUGGAAGGGCCAUCGCUCAACGGAUAAAAGGUACUCCGGGGAUAACAGGCUGAUACCGCCCAAGAGUUCAUAUCGACGGCGGUGUUUGGCACCUCGAUGUCGGCUCAUCACAUCCUGGGGCUGAAGUAGGUCCCAAGGGUAUGGCUGUUCGCCAUUUAAAGUGGUACGCGAGCUGGGUUUAGAACGUCGUGAGACAGUUCGGUCCCUAUCUGCCGUGGGCGCUGGAGAAUUGAGGGGGGCUGCUCCUAGUACGAGAGGACCGGAGUGGACGCAUCACUGGUGUUCGGGUUGUCAUGCCAAUGGCACUGCCCGGUAGCUAAAUGCGGAAGAGAUAAGUGCUGAAAGCAUCUAAGCACGAAACUUGCCCCGAGAUGAGUUCUCCCUGACUCCUUGAGAGUCCUGAAGGAACGUUGAAGACGACGACGUUGAUAGGCCGGGUGUGUAAGCGCAGCGAUGCGUUGAGCUAACCGGUACUAAUGAACCGUGAGGCUUAACCUU